This 397-nucleotide ribosomal RNA is filed under the name uncultured bacterium. RNAcentral's name for it is "partial 16S ribosomal RNA". It matches the Rfam family "Bacterial small subunit ribosomal RNA", at positions 360 to 774 of the family's 1533-position model. The record is from RNAcentral.
AAUAUUCCGCAAUGGGGGGAACCCUGACGGAGCAAUGCCGCGUGAGGGACGAAGGCCUUCGGGUUGUAAACCUUUGUUUUAUGGGAAGAUAAUGACGGUACCAUAAGAGAAAGCUCUGGCUAACUACGUUCCAGCAGCCGCGGUAAUACGUAGGGGGCGAGCGUUGUCCGGAAUUACUGGGCGUGAAGGGUACGUAGGCGGCUAUAUAAGUCAGGUGUGAAAUACCAGUGCUUAACACUGGAAUUGCAUUUGAAACUGUGUAGCUUGAGUGCAGGAGAGGAAAGUGGAAUUCCUAGUGUAGCGGUGAAAUGCGUAGAGAUUAGGAGGAACACCAGUGGCGAAGGCGACUUUCUGGACUGUAACUGACGCUGAGGUACGAAAGCGUGGGUAGCGAACA